UCCGCGCACCCCUAUCGCUCGGGGGAGGCGCGGCUCUCCGCAGGGCGGCCCAGAUUGGCCAGAGCCAGAAGCCCGCCCACAGGAAGGAGCCCCGCACAGGGCGAGCGAGUCAGCGGGUGCCGCACCCCUUCCCGGACCUGCAGGUCCUCUUAGCCCGGGCGCGCAGCGUAGCGGGUUGGACCAGGUUCAUUGUGGACGACCCGCCCCUCAGGCACAGCCCGGUUCGGCGUGGCCCCCCAGCAGCGUCGGGCUUCCCUGGUGGCGCAGUGGUUGAGAGUCCGCCCGCUGAUGGACAUGGGUUCGUGCCCCGGUCCGGGAAGAUCCCACAUGCCGUGGAGCGGCUGGGCCCGUGAGCCAUGGUCGCUGGGCCUGCGCGUCCGGAGCCUGUCCUCCGCAACGGGAGAGGCCACAACAGUGAGAGACCCGUGUACUGCAAAAAAAUAAAA
Molecule: long non-coding RNA, 446 nt
Organism: Lagenorhynchus albirostris (white-beaked dolphin)
Lineage: Eukaryota; Metazoa; Chordata; Mammalia; Artiodactyla; Delphinidae
Exons: 2
Source: RefSeq, a predicted model, not a curated record